AAUAUUUAGUUGUUUUUUUUUUGUUCGUUCAAUUCGAUUUUUUUCGUCAAAGAGCUGGUCGGGCAUUCUGAGAAAGGUAGGUAUAUACGGCUCCGCGGGUCCGCUGCAGAAGGAUCGUAGGAGUGCGUAUAGCCACCACAACAAGGCUGAUCGAGCAGUAAUUCGAUUCCCGAGCGAUUUCAAAAGCCACACGUAGACAAUCAACUAUCAAGGUGAGGGCCGUAUACGUAUUUUUUAAUAAACCGUCAGUAAUAAUAUCAGGUGUGUUUUGUCUACGGAUUUGCAGAUACCCUC
Non-coding RNA from Cinara cedri, 294 nucleotides. The record is from the annotation of a GenBank genome assembly. NCBI's taxonomy places the organism in Eukaryota, Metazoa, Arthropoda, Insecta, Hemiptera, Aphididae.